CCUACGGGAGGCAGCAGUGGGGGAUAUUGCACAAUGGGGGAAACCCUGAUGCAGCAACGCCGCGUGUGGGAAGAAGGUUUUCGGAUUGUAAACCACUGUUCUUGGUGAAGAUAAUGACGGUAACCAAGGAGAAAGCUCCGGCUAACUACGUGCCAGCAGCCGCGGUAAUACGUAGGGAGCAAGCGUUGUCCGGAUUUACUGGGUGUAAAGGGAGCGCAGGCGGGAAGCCAAGUCAGCUGUGAAAACUACGGGCUUAACUUGUAGACUGCAGUUGAAACUGGUUUUCUUGAGUGAAGUAGAGGUUGGCGGAAUUCCGAGUGUAGCGGUGAAAUGCGUAGAUAUUCGGAGGAACACCGGUGGCGAAGGCGGCCAACUGGGCUUUAACUGACGCUGAGGCUCGAAAGUGUGGGGAGCAAACAGGAUUAGAUACCCUUGUAGUC
This 440-nucleotide ribosomal RNA is filed under the name uncultured bacterium. RNAcentral describes it as "partial 16S ribosomal RNA". It matches the Rfam family "Bacterial small subunit ribosomal RNA", at positions 338 to 795 of the family's 1533-position model. The record is from RNAcentral.